RNAcentral lists this ribosomal RNA (381 nucleotides) under Bacillus sp. D-2(2012). RNAcentral's name for it is "bacterial SSU rRNA". It matches the Rfam family "Bacterial small subunit ribosomal RNA", at positions 1075 to 1455 of the family's 1533-position model. Lineage: Bacteria; Bacillati; Bacillota; Bacilli; Caryophanales; Bacillaceae. The record is from RNAcentral.
UUGGGUUAAGUCCCGCAACGAGCGCAACCCUUGAUCUUAGUUGCCAUCAUUAAGUUGGGCACUCUAAGGUGACUGCCGGUGACAAACCGGAGGAAGGUGGGGAUGACGUCAAAUCAUCAUGCCCCUUAUGACCUGGGCUACACACGUGCUACAAUGGACGGUACAAAGAGCUGCAAGACCGCGAGGUGGAGCUAAUCUCAUAAAACCGUUCUCAGUUCGGAUUGUAGGCUGCAACUCGCCUACAUGAAGCUGGAAUCGCUAGUAAUCGCGGAUCAGCAUGCCGCGGUGAAUACGUUCCCGGGCCUUGUACACACCGCCCGUCACACCACGAGAGUUUGUAACACCCGUAUGUCGGUGGGGUAACCUUUAUGGAGCCAGCCG